Molecule: long non-coding RNA, 308 nt
Filed under: Brachypodium distachyon (stiff brome)
Lineage: Eukaryota; Viridiplantae; Streptophyta; Magnoliopsida; Poales; Poaceae
Description: long non-coding RNA (BDIS_LNC000304)
Source: RNAcentral
CAUACAUAUUUUUUCUCUCUCUCUCUAGCACCGGCAUCUCCCCUAGCUACACGGUAAAAAUUCAUGAGAGGGCUGUGACCCCAACUGGAUGCAUGCGUAGCAAUGGUGAAGAUUAAUUCACUACCACAAACCGAUACAUUCCUGUCGGACAAGUUCUAUUCCUGUUCAGCCGGCCGACAUGAAUAGAAGUAUAUUUCUAUCGGUUGGCUAGAACCACCUUGGAGAAAAAAAAAAUCAUGAGAGGCUGAGAUCAUACUACGCCAUUUGCACCGCGCUGCAUCAAUUAAUGACUUGAAAAUUGACGGGCC